UCUCAUUGUCAAUACUGGUUUCCAGUUGC
Molecule: small RNA, 29 nt
Filed under: Bombyx mori (domestic silkworm)
Lineage: Eukaryota; Metazoa; Arthropoda; Insecta; Lepidoptera; Bombycidae
Description: ovarian small RNA-29612
Source: RNAcentral